AGUGCUUGGUUCCUAGUAGGUGUUCAAUAAGUGUUUGUGACAUAAUUCACUUAUUGAGCACCUCCUAUCAAUAAAGUACUGUGUUAGGCUUUGG
This 94-nucleotide microRNA precursor is filed under the name Loxodonta africana (African savanna elephant). Its description in RNAcentral is "miRNA (ENSLAFG00000024898.1)". It matches the Rfam family "mir-325 microRNA precursor family". Lineage: Eukaryota; Metazoa; Chordata; Mammalia; Proboscidea; Elephantidae. The record is from RNAcentral.